GCAAGUCGAACGAUGAACCACUUCGGUGGGGAUUAGUGGCGAACGGGUGAGUAACACGUGGGCAAUCUGCCCUGCACUCUGGGACAAGCCCUGGAAACGGGGUCUAAUACCGGAUACUGAUCUGCUUGGGCAUCCAAGUGGUUCGAAAGCUCCGGCGGUGCAGGAUGAGCCCGCGGCCUAUCAGCUUGUUGGUGAGGUAGUGGCUCACCAAGGCGACGACGGGUAGCCGGCCUGAGAGGGCGACCGGCCACACUGGGACUGAGACACGGCCCAGACUCCUACGGGAGGCAGCAGUGGGGAAUAUUGCACAAUGGGCGAAAGCCUGAUGCAGCGACGCCGCGUGAGGGAUGACGGCCUUCGGGUUGUAAACCUCUUUCAGCAGGGAAGAAGCGAAAGUGACGGUACCUGCAGAAGAAGCGCCGGCUAACUACGUGCCAGCAGCCGCGGUAAUACGUAGGGCGCAAGCGUUGUCCGGAAUUAUUGGGCGUAAAGAGCUCGUAGGCGGCUUGUCACGUCGGUUGUGAAAGCCCGGGGCUUAACCCCGGGUCUGCAGUCGAUACGGGCAGGCUAGAGUUCGGUAGGGGAGAUCGGAAUUCCUGGUGUAGCGGUGAAAUGCGCAGAUAUCAGGAGGAACACCGGUGGCGAAGGCGGAUCUCUGGGCCGAUACUGACGCUGAGGAGCG
RNAcentral lists this ribosomal RNA (682 nucleotides) under Streptomyces sp. YIM 56010. RNAcentral's name for it is "bacterial SSU rRNA". It matches the Rfam family "Bacterial small subunit ribosomal RNA", at positions 57 to 755 of the family's 1533-position model. Lineage: Bacteria; Bacillati; Actinomycetota; Actinomycetes; Kitasatosporales; Streptomycetaceae. The record is from RNAcentral.